Molecule: unclassified non-coding RNA, 243 nt
Filed under: fungal sp.
Lineage: Eukaryota; Fungi
Description: partial internal transcribed spacer region
Rfam family: Eukaryotic small subunit ribosomal RNA (bases 1-46)
Source: RNAcentral
AAGUCGUAACAAGGUUUCCGUAGGUGAACCUGCGGAAGGAUCAUUACAGAAAUAAUAAUUUCAUUUGAACAUACACACCCUUCCUGUGCACUUUUGCGUGAGCAAAGUAAAGUGCCCCUAUUGAGUUAGGGGUAUUUGAAAUGCUUGCGAGUUUUAUUACAAUACACUCUGUGAUAUAAAGUUUGUUUGCAUGUGUUAUACAAUAUAUCUAUAUAACUUUCAGCAAUGGAUCUCUUGGCUCUC